RNAcentral lists this ribosomal RNA (706 nucleotides) under Streptomyces sp. RNAcentral describes it as "bacterial SSU rRNA". It matches the Rfam family "Bacterial small subunit ribosomal RNA", at positions 97 to 817 of the family's 1533-position model. Lineage: Bacteria; Bacillati; Actinomycetota; Actinomycetes; Kitasatosporales; Streptomycetaceae. The record is from RNAcentral.
GGCGAACGGGUGAGUAACACGUGGGCAAUCUGCCCUUCACUCUGGGACAAGCCCUGGAAACGGGGUCUAAUACCGGAUAACACUCCUGCCUGCAUGGGCGGGGGUUAAAAGCUCCGGCGGUGAAGGAUGAGCCCGCGGCCUAUCAGCUUGUUGGUGGGGUAAUGGCCUACCAAGGCGACGACGGGUAGCCGGCCUGAGAGGGCGACCGGCCACACUGGGACUGAGACACGGCCCAGACUCCUACGGGAGGCAGCAGUGGGGAAUAUUGCACAAUGGGCGAAAGCCUGAUGCAGCGACGCCGCGUGAGGGAUGACGGCCUUCGGGUUGUAAACCUCUUUCAGCAGGGAAGAAGCGCAAGUGACGGUACCUGCAGAAGAAGCACCGGCUAACUACGUGCCAGCAGCCGCGGUAAUACGUAGGGUGCGAGCGUUGUCCGGAAUUAUUGGGCGUAAAGAGCUCGUAGGCGGCUUGUCACGUCGGAUGUGAAAGCUCGGGGCUUAACCCCGAGUCUGCAUUCGAUACGGGCUAGCUAGAGUGUGGUAGGGGAGAUCGGAAUUCCUGGUGUAGCGGUGAAAUGCGCAGAUAUCAGGAGGAACACCGGUGGCGAAGGCGGAUCUCUGGGCCAUUACUGACGCUGAGGAGCGAAAGCGUGGGGAGCGAACAGGAUUAGAUACCCUGGUAGUCCACGCCGUAAACGUUGGGAACU